This 1612-nucleotide long non-coding RNA is filed under the name Homo sapiens (human). Its description in RNAcentral is "HSALNT0385493". The record is from RNAcentral. Lineage: Eukaryota; Metazoa; Chordata; Mammalia; Primates; Hominidae.
CCAUUCAAUGAUCCCAUUCCCUUUCUUUCAACAAUGAUUCCAUUAGUUGCUAAUCGAUGAUCCACUUGAUUCCAUUUGACGAUGAUUCCAUUCUUGUCCAUUCGAUGAUUCCAUUUGUUUCCAUAUGAUGAUGAUUCCAUUCGAUUCCAUACGAUGAUGAUUCCAUUCGAGUCCAUUCAAUGGUGAUUCCAUUCAAUUCCAUUCGAUGAUUCCUUUUGAUUCCAUUUGAUGAUGAUGGCAUUCGAUUCCUUUCAAUCAUUCCCUUUGAUUCCACUCAAAGGUGAUUUCAUUCAAGUCCAUUCGAUAAUUGCAUUCGAUUCCAUUCUAUGAUGAUUCCAUUCGAGUCCAUUUGAUGAUUCCAUUCAAUUCAAGUCAAUGAUGAUUCCAUUCGAUUCCAUUCGAUGAUUCCAUUGGAUUCCAUUUGAUGAUGAUUCCAUUCAAAUCCAUUCGAUAAUUCAAUUCAAGUCCAUUCGAUGAUUAUUCCAAUCGAAUCCAUUCAAAGAUUACAUUCAAUCCCAUUCGAUGAUUCCCUUAGAUUCCAUUCGAUGAUUCCACUUGAUUCCAUUUACGAUGAUUCCAUUCGAUUCCAUGUGAUGAUUCCAUUCAAUUCUAUUCAAUGAUGUUUCCAUUUGAUUCCAUUCAAUGAUGAUUCCAUUCUAUUCCAUUCAAUGAUUGCAUUCAAUUCCAUUCAAUGAUUAUGCCAUUAGAGUAAAUUCAACGAUUCUAUUCAAUACCAUUCGAUGAUGAUUCCUUUUGAGUCCAUUCAAUGAUUUCAAUCAAGUCCAUUUGAUGAUUCCUUUCAAUUCCAUUCCAUGAUGAUUCCAUUCGAGUCCAUUCGAUGAUUCCAUUCGAUUACAUUCGAUGAUUCCAUUAUAUUCCAUUCAACGAUGAUUCCAUUCGAGUCCAUUCGAUGAUUCCAUUAGAGUACAUUUAAUGAUAGCUUUGUUUUCAAUUCGAAGAUGAUUACAUUGGAUUCCAUUCUAUGAUUACAUUCGAUUCCAUUCAUUGAUGAUUCCACCCAAUUCCAUUCGAUGAUGAUUCCAUUCGAUUUCAUUCAAUGAUUCUACUCGAUUCCAUUCAAUGAUGAUUCAAUUCUAUUCCGUUUGAUGAUUCCAUUAGAUUCCAUUCUAUGAUGAUUCCAUUCGAGUCCAUUCGAAGGUUCCAUUCGAUUACAUUCCAUGACGAUUCCAUUCGAGUCCAUUCGAUGAUUCCAUUUGAAUCCAUUCGACGAUGAUUCCAUUUGAUGCUAUUCGAUGAUUCCAUUGGAUUCCAUUCGAUGAUGAUUCCAUUCGACUUGAUUUGAUGAUUCUAUUUGAGUCCAUUCGGUUAUUUUAUUAGACUACAUUCGAUGAUGAUUCCAUUCGAUGCCAUUCAAUGAUUCCAUUUGAUUCCACUCAAUGAUGAUUGCAUUCGUGUCCAUUCGAUGAUUCCAUUUGGUUCCAUUUGAUGAUGAUUCCAUUCGAGUCCAUUCGAUGAUACCAUUCAAUUCCAUUCGAUGAUCAUUCCAUUCGAAUCCAUUUGAUGAUUCCACUCAAUUCCAUUUGAUGACUCCUUUCAUUCCCAUUCGAUGAUUCCCUUCAGUUCCAAUUGGAUGAUCUUUCCAUUUGAUUCA